GAUGAACGCUGACAGAAUGCUUAACACAUGCAAGUCUUUGGCGAAGCUGUGCUUGCACAGCCCAGCCAAGGCGGACGGGUGAGUAACGCGUAAGGAACUUGCCCUGCAGUCAGGGAUAACAGACGGAAACGACUGAUAAGACCUGGUAAAGUCAGGCGGACUCAUGUCCAGCCUGAUGAAAAGAGAUGCUGCAGGAGAGCCUUGCGUCCUAUUAGCUUGUUGGUGGGGUAACGGCCCACCAAGGCGAUGAUAGGUAGCCGGCCUGAGAGGGUGGACGGCCACAAGGGGACUGAGAUACGGCCCUUACUCCUACGGGAGGCAGCAGUGGGGAAUAUUGGACAAUGGGGGCAACCCUGAUCCAGCAAUUCUGCGUGCACGAUGAAGGUUUUCGGAUUGUAAAGUGCUUUCAGCAGGGAAGAAAAAAAUGACGGUACCUGCAGAAGAAGCGACGGCUAAAUACGUG
Molecule: ribosomal RNA, 463 nt
Filed under: uncultured bacterium
Lineage: Bacteria
Description: partial 16S ribosomal RNA
Rfam family: Bacterial small subunit ribosomal RNA
Source: RNAcentral